AAAGCUGAAGUCUCCACACAGAUCUGAUGUUUUCUCCAGCUGCCAUUUUUCGUCACUCCACUGGAAGAGCUUCAGUGGAAAUUUAAGUCACACUCUUCAUAAAUCCCCUGGAUGGGUGAGCAAGGAUGAAAAUGAUGCCAAAAUCACCAGCUUCAUGCAGUUUACCCCUCCCUCCUCUAUCUGGAUGUGAACAGCUGCAAUGGGACAUAUUAAUUGGUUUAUUUUAUUGAACUAAUUUCAUUGGACUUUUCCACUGGCGAUACCUUUUGUACGUAUUUUAUUGAACUUCUUUCAAUAGAUUUAUUACAUUUAUAUUGGAUUUACUAUAAUUCCAUCAUGGGAUUAUAUUGUCACUGUCUUUUUCCCACUUGUGCACUAUCCACACGUGUCCUGAGGUUCCUUCCACCUUUUUGUCUUAUUAGAGAGCUUAGGUUGUGUUAAAAACUGUUGAUUUUUGUAGGCCUAAAUAUGACUUGUUAGAGGUUUUUAAGUUUUUUUGGUAGUGCUGACUAAAUAUCAGAAAGAAUAAAAUAGUAGUUUCUCAGUUUUGCUGCAGAUUAUAUAGUGUCUGAGACUUAGUGUUUGUUUGUAGGUGCGGUACACAGCAGCUCUGUCUCAGUGAAGUGUGCCCACACCACCUGUCAUUAGCAGCAAACAGAGACUGGCGUGGGUUGUUUUUCAGUCAAUAGACUGACACACUGGCGCCAUUAUAAGCUUCAGUAAGUCGAUUAGUCUAGACUUUAAAGUAUUAGAGGAAAGAGAUGCCUUCUCACCUGAGUAGAGGAGUGCACUACUCACUCUCACCAGACCAGGCAGACUUAAACAAACACGUUAAACAGUACAAGAGGUCGGCGGAGGCCAGACAAAGGAGGAUAAGGAUGUUAUAUUUAUCUUCCAUGAGCACUACAAAAACACUACUAAUAGAAAAAAUUGUUGUUAUGCAUUAUAUGAUAAAGGAAUUAUCAGGUGUGUGAUUUUUGUGUGAAAAAUCAGACUGAAGCACAUCCUGAAAAUGAACUUGAGCAACUGUUGUGUCCUAUAGAAGAUUUCCACCAUACAGCUGAACAGGCAGAGCAUGGCGCUGACACUGCUAGUGUCAGGGGAGCGAAUCCCUCUGUGGCCAUUGUUGCUAAAAAUGUAUGCACCCACAACACUGUAAUGCUCCAUGGAUGGAAGUAUCCCCCACACAGUGUGUGCCUACAGUACUGACUGUGUAAACUUCUUCUUCUAGGGUAAACAUUGAACUGCAUUUUAAAUACACUACAGUGUGAGGUUUUGUUAAAUGAAAAAUCUGAUGAAAUUAAUUUGGAAGAGUCAAUGAUAAAUGCCCCCAUUUAUAAAAUAGAUAUCUAUUAGGUAUAGAUAGGUAUUUUAUAAAUUACAUUUUCAACAAAGCAUAAUAUAAUACACAGAGAAUGAACACCAGGCCUUUUCUGAAAUUUACAACAGCUCUUUUUGUGGUUGCCAGUUAAUUACUUCUGGGUGACUGGAAGCAGAAAACCCUUCAGGGCAUUAAAGGAACCUUAAUUCAUCUAGUGCUCAUAUGUCCAAAAAUACUUCCAUGCACUACCUGAAGGUGUAAGAAGGUGUAUAAAAUGAUCUGUGUACUGAGAUUAAAAACAUUUUUUAAAUUUUG
Micropterus dolomieu (smallmouth bass) is the source of this 1636-nucleotide long non-coding RNA. RefSeq lists it as uncharacterized. The transcript has 2 exons. Lineage: Eukaryota; Metazoa; Chordata; Actinopteri; Centrarchiformes; Centrarchidae. The record is from RefSeq and is a predicted model, not a curated record.